This 952-nucleotide long non-coding RNA is filed under the name Capra hircus (goat). RNAcentral describes it as "lncRNA (ENSCHIG00000007722.1)". The record is from RNAcentral. Lineage: Eukaryota; Metazoa; Chordata; Mammalia; Artiodactyla; Bovidae.
CUGCCGGCCAGAGUUCUCGCCGCGCCGCCGGAGGCGAAGCGUCGGGCCGCGGCACGCCCCCUGGGGCCUGGCAGGGGUCUUCCCUCUGUCGUCCCAUUCCUUGGUGAUUGGAACGGUUUUCUGAAGCUGGAGGGAGUGAAGUGAGCCUUCAGGCCCCUGAGGAUGGGCAGGCCUGAGAGGUCACUGACCACAGGAGGAGGGGCGACCCCAGUCUGCUAUGGGCCUUGCUCUGACCUGGGCGAAGAGUGGAUGUCCUGGGUGGGUGGGUUCGCUUUGGUCAGCUCUGGUCCGGAAAGAGACUCACCAGUUUGAGUCUGAGCCCUAUUAGGCCACAGACUCUAUCCCCUCCCCUCCCCCAAGCUUUCAGAGUAAAUUAACCAAUUACCUCUAAUUAAAGCACCAGGCUUUCUGUUCCCUCCUGGGCCUCAGUCCCCACCCUGGGAGUCCUCUUACCCUGGCUGCUCAGGAAGGGAGCCUCGCCAAUAAGGUGGAAGCCAAUGAAUCAUCUCCUCAUCCCAGCUCCAAGGACAACUCCUUCCUUAAGUUGCUCAGACCAGGGGACUGACAGCUUCCAUCUCUUGGAGUCCUGGACCACCAGAAAAGAAGUUCAGCCGCCUCACUUGCAGGAUGCCACGGAGAGGAUCCCAGCAUUGUCCAGCCUUCUAAAAGCUCUCACCUGGCACAAGAGGUGAAUGGAACUGUUCUGGAUAUCCGAGACCAGACCAGCUAUCAACCAAGGAGCCCCACAGGACACUCCAUGUGGAGCAGAACUGCCCUGUUGAGCCCAGUCUCAAUCCCUGACCCUCAAAAUUGUGAGAUAUAAUAAAAUGGGAUUGUUUUAGACAGUAAAGUUAGGCUAUAGUUUUAAGUUUUAACGUUAGAUUUCAAAAUUGUUGUGUUAGGCUUGGAGACAAAUGUUACAUAGCAAUAAAUAACCAGAACAUUUAUCUAC